RNAcentral lists this ribosomal RNA (464 nucleotides) under Vreelandella stevensii. RNAcentral describes it as "partial 16S ribosomal RNA". It matches the Rfam family "Bacterial small subunit ribosomal RNA", at positions 338 to 795 of the family's 1533-position model. The record is from RNAcentral. Lineage: Bacteria; Pseudomonadati; Pseudomonadota; Gammaproteobacteria; Oceanospirillales; Halomonadaceae.
CCUACGGGCGGCAGCAGUGGGGAAUAUUGGACAAUGGGCGAAAGCCUGAUCCAGCCAUGCCGCGUGUGUGAAGAAGGCCUUCGGGUUGUAAAGCACUUUCAGUGGGGAAGAAAGCCUUGGGGCUAAUACCCUCGAGGAAGGACAUCACCCACAGAAGAAGCACCGGCUAACUCCGUGCCAGCAGCCGCGGUAAUACGGAGGGUGCGAGCGUUAAUCGGAAUUACUGGGCGUAAAGCGCGCGUAGGCGGUCUGAUAAGCCGGUUGUGAAAGCCCCGGGCUCAACCUGGGAACGGCAUCCGGAACUGUCAGGCUAGAGUGCAGGAGAGGAAGGUAGAAUUCCCGGUGUAGCGGUGAAAUGCGUAGAGAUCGGGAGGAAUACCAGUGGCGAGGGCGGCCUUCUGGACUGACACUGACGCUGAGGUGCGAAAGCGUGGGUAGCAAACAGGAUUAGAUACCCCGUAGUC